GAGUUUGAUCGUGGCUCAGGACGAACGCUGGCGGCGUGCCUAAUACAUGCAAGUCGAGCGGGUUUAUCCUUCGGGAUAAGCUAGCGGCGGACGGGUGAGUAACACGUAGGUAACCUGCCUUUAAGACUGGGAUAACUAUCGGAAACGAUAGCUAAGACCGGAUAACUGGUUUUCUCGCAUGAGAGAAUCAUAAAACACGGAGCAAUCUGUGACCUAGAGAUGGGCCUGCGGCGCAUUAGCUAGUUGGUGAGGUAACGGCUCACCAAGGCGACGAUGCGUAGCCGACCUGAGAGGGUGAACGGCCACACUGGGACUGAGACACGGCCCAGACUCCUACGGGAGGCAGCAGUAGGGAAUCUUCCGCAAUGGACGCAAGUCUGACGGAGCAACGCCGCGUGAGUGAUGAAGGUUUUCGGAUCGUAAAGCUCUGUUGCCCUAGACGAACAGCAUGAGGAGUAACUGCCUUGUGUGUGACGGUAUAGGAGAAGAAAGCCCGGCUAACUACGUGCCAGCA
Molecule: ribosomal RNA, 514 nt
Filed under: uncultured bacterium
Lineage: Bacteria
Description: bacterial SSU rRNA
Rfam family: Bacterial small subunit ribosomal RNA
Source: RNAcentral